RNAcentral lists this ribosomal RNA (777 nucleotides) under uncultured Neocallimastigales. RNAcentral describes it as "partial large subunit ribosomal RNA". It matches the Rfam family "Eukaryotic large subunit ribosomal RNA", at positions 23 to 645 of the family's 3401-position model. The record is from RNAcentral. Lineage: Eukaryota; Fungi; Neocallimastigomycota; Neocallimastigomycetes; Neocallimastigales.
GAGACUCUGUGCGCGUGCAUAUCAAUAAGCGGAGGAAAAGAAACUGACAAGGAUUCCCCUAGUAACGGCGAGUGAAGCGGGAAGAGCUCAAAUUUGAAAUCUUCAAGGUUUUACCUUGACGAAUUGUAGUUUAAAGAAGUGUUUUCUGUUGGAGUUUCGGUAAAAGUUCUUUGGAAUAGGACAUCAUAGAGGGUGAGAAUCCCGUAUUUGACCGUUACUUUCCAGCUGUGUGAUACACUUUCAACGAGUCGGAUUGUUUGGGAAUGCAGUCCAAAAUGGGUGGUAAAUUUCAUCUAAAGCUAAAUAUUGGCGAGAGACCGAUAGCGAACAAGUACCGUGAGGGAAGGAUGAAAAGAACUUUGAAAAGAGAGUUAAACAGUACGUGAAAUUGUCAAAAGGGAAGCGUUUGACACCAGUGUUGUUUUUCCGAAAAUCAAUUACGAAUGUUUUAGUUUUUAAGGAAGUUAUGACUUCAUCGGCUUGCUCCUUUCUUUAUGAAACUUUCCUAAUGCACUUUUCGUUUAACAAGUCAACAUCAAUUUCUUUUGUUGUAAAAGGGUCAUUGGAAGGUGGCUUUCUUUUCGGAGAAAGUGUUUAUAGCCUUUGAUCUCUGCAACCGGAGAGACUGAGGUCUGCAGCGUAGACUCUUCGGGGUUAAAUACAUUUGUGCUAAGCUAUAGCUUUUUAUAGACAACUUGUUGACUAUAUUUAGUCUUGUGGCUUACUCGCUUAUGCUAUUUUACCUACGCUUAGGAUGUUGAAGUCAUCGUAUCGCGC